UGUUCUAACUACUCUGCGGUCAGUGGUUAGCAUCGGUUUCUCAUCAAAGAACAGACAUUUAUUCAUAAAACAUACAUGCAAACUAGCCACUGUUAACUGAACACACGCGCUAUCAAAAUGACAGAUGCUUAACAUGGAGCCCUGCUUCCAGAGACAAUUUCCAACUGCCGUCACAAGAUGGCAGUAAUUUAAAGGAUUAAUAGCUGCUGUUUGCCCUGAAAUGAGAGCCAAGGCGGAGGAAUGUGUGGCGGAACACCAGCAGAAAUUUGAUGAAGCUCACCUCAGAGGUGGAACACAGGUGAAGGAGGACACUUUUAACGCGUGUUUGUGCGUUCAGGCGGUGUGAGCGAGCUAAAGCGACAGCCCGCUGACCAAACUCCUGCCGCUGUCGCCAUCGCCGCCACUGAAUACCAAAGAGCAGCUCCCACUGAGCGUAAACACAGGGCGCAGCAGGGCCGUGACAGAUGACGACAGCGCUGCUGCUCCUGAGCACCUCCGGCAUCAGACGCUGAACGUCAGUGGAGGGAAGAUCAUUACAGGCAGAAGGCAGGAAAGGAGACAAUAUGGAGACGGGAGGAGCAGGGUGAAGCGCUCUAACAGCCUCACCACAGGAUGCUGGCCUCGGAGGCGGAGUCAGCCCGUCAUGCAAAGUCGACUCCCCUGAGUCUGCUGUGGAAGGUGGAGGCAGUCAACUCCUCUCCUCUCAACUCUUCUUACUGUGGUUUCAAGCUGGUGCAGUGACUCUGUGUACCUCCACCCGGGCCGCUGCCCCUUUUUCCCCUCCCCAGGAUCCGUUCAUGGACUCUUGUAUCUAGCCAUAGCGCACAGUUUGAGCUUCAUGUUUCAUAGUUAUGCCUCAUAGUUCAUAGUUUUCUCCUUCAUAGUUCACA
This is a long non-coding RNA of Oreochromis aureus, 890 nucleotides long. RefSeq lists it as uncharacterized. NCBI's taxonomy places the organism in Eukaryota, Metazoa, Chordata, Actinopteri, Cichliformes, Cichlidae. The transcript has 4 exons. The record is from RefSeq and is a predicted model, not a curated record.